CCUACGGGAGGCAGCAGUGAGGAAUAUUGGUCAAUGGGCGAGAGCCUGAACCAGCCAAGUCGCGUGAGGGAGUACUGCCCUAUGGGUUGUAAACCUCUUUUGUCGGGGAGCAAAAGCCGGACGUGUCCGGCUGUGAGAGUACCCGAAGAAAAAGCAUCGGCUAACUCCGUGCCAGCAGCCGCGGUAAUACGGAGGAUGCGAGCGUUAUCCGGAUUUAUUGGGGUUAAAGGGUGCGCAGGCGGAUUUUUAAGUCAGCGGUCAAAUCGUGGGGCUCAACCCCAUCCAGCCGUUGAAACUGGGGAUCUAGAGUGUGCGAGAGGUAUGCGGAAGGCGUGGUGUAGCGGUGAAAUGCAUAGAUAUGACGCAGAACCCCGAUUGCGAAGGCAGCAUACCGGUGCACAACUGACGCUCAGGCACGAAAGCGUGGGUAUCGAACAGGAUUAGAUACCCCAGUAGUC
This 458-nucleotide ribosomal RNA is filed under the name uncultured bacterium. RNAcentral describes it as "partial 16S ribosomal RNA". It matches the Rfam family "Bacterial small subunit ribosomal RNA", at positions 338 to 795 of the family's 1533-position model. The record is from RNAcentral.